This 1447-nucleotide ribosomal RNA is filed under the name Ligilactobacillus salivarius. RNAcentral's name for it is "bacterial SSU rRNA". It matches the Rfam family "Bacterial small subunit ribosomal RNA". Lineage: Bacteria; Bacillati; Bacillota; Bacilli; Lactobacillales; Lactobacillaceae. The record is from RNAcentral.
GGAUUUGCACCGCGGCGUGCGGGCUAUCAUGCAGUCGAACGAAACUUUCUUACGAAUGCUUGCAUUCACCGUAAGAAGUUGAGUGGCGGACGGGUGAGUAACACGUGGUAACCUGCCUAAAAGAAGGGGAUAACACUUGGAAACAGGUGCUAAUACCGUAUACUCUAAGGAUCGCAUGAUCCUUAGAUGAAAGAUGGUUCUGCUAUCGCUUUUAGAUGCCCGCGGCGUAUUAACUAGUUGGUGGGGUAACGGCCUACCAAGGUGAUGAUACAGAACUGAGAGGUUGAUCGGCCACAUUGGGACUGAAACACGGCCCAAACUCCUACGGAGGCAGCAGUAGGGAAUCUUCCACAAUGGACGCAAGUCUGAUGGAGCAACGCCGCGUGAGUGAAGAAGGUCUUCGGAUCGUAAAACUCUGUUGUUAAAGAAAAACACGUGAGAGUAACUGUUCAUUCGAUGACGGUAUCUAACCAGCAAGUCACGGCUAACUCGUGCCAGCAGCCGCGGUAAUACGUAGGUGGCAAGCGUUGUCCGGAUUUAUUGGCGUAAAGGGAACGCAGGCGGUCUUUUAAGUCUGAUGUGAAAGCCUUCGGCUUAACGGAGUAGUGCAUUGGAAACUGGAAGACUUGAGUGCAGAAGAGGAGAGUGGAACCUCCAUGUGUAGCGGUGAAAUGCGUAGAUAUAUGGGAAGACACCAGUGGCGAAAGGGCUCUCUGGGUCUGUAACUGACGCUGAGUCGAAAGCGUGGGUAGCAAACAGGAUAGAUACCCUGGUAGUCCACGCCGUAAACGAUGAAUGCUAGGUGUUGGAGGGUUCCGCCCUUCAGUGCCGCAGCUAACGCAAUAAGCAUUCCGCCUGGGGAGUACGACCGCAAGGUUGAAACUCAAAGGAAUUGACGGGGGCCCGCACAAGCGGUGGAGCAGUGGUUUAAUUCGAAGCAACGCGAAGAACCUUACCAGGUCUUGACAUCCUUUGACCACCUAAGAGAUUAGGUUUUCCCUUCGGGGACAAAGUGACAGGUGGUGCAUGGCUUCGUCAGCUCGUGUCGUGAGAUGUUGGGUUAAGUCCCGCAACGAGCGCAACCCUUGUUGUCAGUUGCCAGCAUUAAGUUGGGCACUCUGGCGAGACUGCCGGUGACAAACGGAGGAAGGUGGGGACGACGUCAAGUCAUCAUGCCCCUUAUGACCUGGGCUACACACGUGCUACAAUGGACGGUACAACGAGUCGCGAGACCGCGAGGUUUAGCUAAUCUCUUAAAGCCGUUCUCAGUUCGGAUUGUAGGCUGCAACUCGCCUACAUGAAGUAAUCGCUAGUAAUCGCGAAUCAGCAUGUCGCGGUGAAUACGUUCCCGGGCCUUGUACACACCGCCCGUCACACCAUGAGAGUUUGUAACACCCAAAGCCGGUGGGGUAACGCAAGGAGCCAGCCGUCUAAGGUGACAGAGAUG